GACAGAGGAUGCAAGCGUUACCCGGAAUGAUUGGGCGUAAAGCGUCUGUAGAUGGCUUUUCAAGUCCGCUGUCAAAUCCCAGGGCUCAACCCUGGAUAUGCGGUGGAAACUACCAAGCUGGAGUACGGUAGGGGCAGAGGGAAUUUCCGGUGGAGCGAUGAAAUGCAUUGAGAUCAGAAAGAACACCAACGGCGAAAGCACUCUGCUGGGCCGACACUGACACUGAGAGAUGAAAGCUAGGGGAGCAAAUGGG
This 253-nucleotide ribosomal RNA is filed under the name uncultured bacterium. RNAcentral's name for it is "partial 16S ribosomal RNA". It matches the Rfam family "Bacterial small subunit ribosomal RNA", at positions 524 to 776 of the family's 1533-position model. The record is from RNAcentral.